RNAcentral lists this long non-coding RNA (984 nucleotides) under Malus domestica (apple). Its description in RNAcentral is "long non-coding RNA (MDOM_LNC015214)". The record is from RNAcentral. Lineage: Eukaryota; Viridiplantae; Streptophyta; Magnoliopsida; Rosales; Rosaceae.
UCCCUACUUACAUACUUUACUACAUUUGAUAAAAAGAGGGUUUAAUUUUGUGUGUUAACUUAUUUUACGCAUCAUUCCACCGUCCCAGUCACUAAUCUAAUUCUUCUCAAAUGAAUAUGUACUUGAGAAAUCUAAAAUUAAUAAAGAUUUUGGACACGUUCUCCACAGAGAAAUGUUAUUAGAUUUUCAAGCAAGGAUGGUAAAUGUUAACUCUAAGUCAUAGAUAAGAUGGCUUAAUCCAAAUAGUUCUACACAUUGGGAAUAUAAGUGAUACUCCAUCAUGUUGCCUCUACACAACUGAAACAUCAAAAAAUACGUCAUCAUGAAUCUCCAAAAGAUCAACGUCAUCGAAGAGUUUAAAGUGAUAGUGAAAUGAAACAACAGUUCAGUCGUCAUAAACUUUAUUCAUUUCCAACCUUCCAACUAAACUAACUUUCCUUAGCCAAAAGUGAGGAAGGAUAUUAUAGGCAAUUCACUAACAAAUUGUCGAUAAAAUCGGUAGGACCAAGGAUAUCUUGAAUUUACAACACUUUAUGAGAAUGUCAACUUUCUUCCGUUACAACCUUUUUGGGAAAAGAAAAUAUUCUCGUCCUUUGAGAUCAUGUCUCCCAAGAAGAGUAUCAAUUUAAUCAAAGUUUACAAUUGGGGAAUCUAAUAACUAGCUGACUAACAGAGCUUAAAGGAUUUGGUCUCACUAUCAAGGUAGAUAAGAAGAUCACCAAUAAGACCACUAUGAAUUCGUCAGACCAGGGAGGCAAAAUAGGAUUACAAAGGUUGGUUGACUAGUCCAUCAGUUCAAAGUAAGGUUUAAACCGAUCAAGUUGCUAAAAUCUAGAUACAAACCUAGGGUUCAGUCUUUCGCCAUCGCGAAUAGGUUAGAAAUUCCCUAGAUAAAGUGCUUGAUUGGGUAAUGAUAAGCUCAUAUUGAAGGAUGAUUAUGUGAAAACAUGUUCAUUUAAGCAACAUCAUAUAGCAUGCAAUUAA